GCGAUACGAGACAAUUCGACAACAUGAAGGCAGUGUUUGCAGCUCUGAGCGUGCUCCUCCUGGCGGCCCUCGCCCUGGCCAGCCCUGAGCCCGAGCCACAGCCCGGCUACGGCGGCUACGGCGGCUACGGUGGUGGACGUGGCGGCGGAUAUGGCGGCUACGGAGGGUAUAGCGGCUAUGGUGGUGGACGCGGCGGCUAUGGUGGUGGAUAUGGCGGCUAUGGCGGUGGACGCGGCGGCUAUGGUGGUGGAUAUGGUGGCUAUGGCGGUGGACGUGGCGGUUAUGGUGGCGGCUACGGCGGCUAUGGCGGUGGACGUGGCGGUUAUGGUGGCGGCUACGGCGGGUAUGGUGGUGGACAUGGCGGCUAUGGCUACGGACGCUAAGGAUGAGGCAAGGCGGCGCUCCACUUGCUGUGUGGAAUGCAUUCCAGGGAGCGGCGCCCCCCUCGUCUUCCUUCUCCAGGGGCGGCGCCGCAGGGGAAUUGGAGAGAGGUUCUCCAGAGGAAACUCGCACGGCCAUCAAGAAGAAAUAGAGGAGGAAGGGAGAAGGGAGCCCCCCCCCCCCAAACACCUGGAGCCCCCCCCCCCAAACACCUGCCCUUCCUCCCCUCGCCCAAAGCUGACAAACAAGACAGUCUAUCCAAAAAUUCAUAUUUGGAACCAUUUUUGUUCCUUCAAUAAAUUAUUUAAAACAA
This is an RNA transcript of Eriocheir sinensis (Chinese mitten crab), 694 nucleotides long. It is a transcript of the gene named shematrin-like protein 2, with no coding region annotated. The transcript is spliced from 4 exons. The record is from RefSeq and is a predicted model, not a curated record. Lineage: Eukaryota; Metazoa; Arthropoda; Malacostraca; Decapoda; Varunidae.